UCCCUGGUAGUUCAGAUGGUAAAGAAUCUGCCUGCAAUGCAGGAGACCUGGGUUCAAUCCCUAGGUUGGGAA
Non-coding RNA from Bos taurus (domestic cattle), 72 nucleotides. NCBI's taxonomy places the organism in Eukaryota, Metazoa, Chordata, Mammalia, Artiodactyla, Bovidae. The record is from Rfam.